This 856-nucleotide ribosomal RNA is filed under the name uncultured bacterium. RNAcentral's name for it is "bacterial SSU rRNA". It matches the Rfam family "Bacterial small subunit ribosomal RNA", at positions 8 to 853 of the family's 1533-position model. The record is from RNAcentral.
AGAGUUUGAUCAUGGCUCAGAUUGAACGCUGGCGGCAGGCUUAACACAUGCAAGUCGAACGGUAACAGGAAGGAAGCUUGCUUUCUUUGCUGACGAGUGGCGGACGGGUGAGUAAUGCUUGGGAAUCUGGCUUAUGGAGGGGGAUAACUACGGGAAACUGUAGCUAAUACCGCGUAAUAUCUUCGGAUUAAAGGGUGGGACUUUCGGGCCACCUGCCAUAAGAUGAGCCCAAGUGGGAUUAGGUAGUUGGUGGGGUAAAGGCCUACCAAGCCGACGAUCUCUAGCUGGUCUGAGAGGAUGACCAGCCACACUGGAACUGAGACACGGUCCAGACUCCUACGGGAGGCAGCAGUGGGGAAUAUUGCACAAUGGGGGGAACCCUGAUGCAGCCAUGCCGCGUGAAUGAAGAAGGCCUUCGGGUUGUAAAGUUCUUUCGGUGAUGAGGAAGGUGUUUGUUUUAAUAGAACAAGCAAUUGACGUUAGUCACAGAAGAAGCACCGGCUAACUCCGUGCCAGCAGCCGCGGUAAUACGGAGGGUGCGAGCGUUAAUCGGAAUGACUGGGCGUAAAGGGCACGCAGGCGGUGACUUAAGUGAGAUGUGAAAGCCCCGAGCUUAACUUGGGAAUUGCAUUUCAUACUGGGUCGCUAGAGUAUUUUAGGGAGGGGUAGAAUUCCACGUGUAGCGGUGAAAUGCGUAGAGAUGUGGAGGAAUACCGAAGGCGAAGGCAGCCCCUUGGGAAUAUACUGACGCUCAUGUGCGAAAGCGUGGGGAGCAAACAGGAUUAGAUACCCUGGUAGUCCACGCUGUAAACGCUGUCGAUUUGGGGAUUGGGCUUAGAGCUUGGUGCCCGUAGCU